RNAcentral lists this ribosomal RNA (227 nucleotides) under uncultured soil bacterium. RNAcentral's name for it is "partial 16S ribosomal RNA". It matches the Rfam family "Bacterial small subunit ribosomal RNA", at positions 26 to 258 of the family's 1533-position model. The record is from RNAcentral.
AGGACGAACGCUGGCGGCGUGCUUAACACAUGCAAGUCGAGCGGAAAGGCCCUUCGGGGUACUCGAGCGGCGAACGGGUGAGUAACACGUGAGGAACCUGCCCUGGACUUUGGGAUAACCCUCGGAAACGGGGGCUAAUACCGAAUACGACACGGUCUCGCAUGAGAUCCGUGUGGAAAGUUUUUCGGCUGGGAUGGUCUCGCGGCCUAUCAGCUUGUGGUGGGUAU